CGGCACGGGUGAGUAACACGUAUGCAAUCCACCUGUAACAGGGGGAGUAACCCGGAGAAAUCCGGACUAAUACCCCAUAAUAUGGGCGCUCCGCAUGGAGAGCCCAUUAAAGAGAGCAAUUUUGGUUACAGACGAGCAUGCGCUCCAUUAGCCAGUUGGCGGGGUAACGGCCCACCAAAGCGACGAUGGAUAGGGGUUCUGAGAGGAAGGUCCCCCACAUUGGAACUGAGACACGGUCCAA
This 241-nucleotide ribosomal RNA is filed under the name uncultured bacterium. RNAcentral's name for it is "partial 16S ribosomal RNA". It matches the Rfam family "Bacterial small subunit ribosomal RNA", at positions 100 to 334 of the family's 1533-position model. The record is from RNAcentral.